UUAAACGCAAUGACGAAGAAAAGUAGCUUAUUUUGAAUCUUUCAGAGAACCGCGCCAUGGCUGGAAGCGCGGCAGAUGAAAUUUAAGCGAAGUUCCCUUACGAGCGGCUGUGCCGAAAGAUAUUUCAAUUAAGCGCAGACGAAUUGAGCAGCGUUAAAAGCUCAAAGAGUGUUUGCUUGGAUUUUAAACUCUUUGCAAAAAUAAGGGUGGUACCGCAGGUAUUAACAUACUUGUCCCUAGU
RNAcentral lists this non-coding RNA (241 nucleotides) under Anaerotruncus sp. Its description in RNAcentral is "T-box sequence". It matches the Rfam family "T-box leader". Rfam says of the family: Uncharged tRNA acts as the effector for transcription antitermination of genes in the T-box leader family. T-boxes are found upstream of many aminoacyl-tRNA synthetase genes and some amino acid biosynthetic genes usually in Gram-positive bacteria. Lineage: Bacteria; Bacillati; Bacillota; Clostridia; Eubacteriales; Oscillospiraceae. The record is from RNAcentral.